This is a long non-coding RNA of Prinia subflava (tawny-flanked prinia), 2292 nucleotides long. RefSeq lists it as uncharacterized. The transcript is spliced from 3 exons. Lineage: Eukaryota; Metazoa; Chordata; Aves; Passeriformes; Cisticolidae. The record is from RefSeq and is a predicted model, not a curated record.
CUGGAGUUGAAAAGUGGAAACAGAGAAAGGUGUAAAUUAAAGGUUGAGAUAAGAACAAUGUACUGGAAACAGCAACAAGGUAAGAAAACUAACAGUAACAAGAGCCAUAUUGAUAACAAAAGUAUUCAAUAAAGAGGGCGAUGUGCACACAAAAUGGUCACUGAGCCUGACCAGGCAUGACAGGACCUGGCCACAGCUGGUGGCACCUACUCUGACAGUUUCAUCCACCACUCCUGUUCCCCAGUGGAAACCAUGCCCCUUCUCAGAAAUUAUGAGGAACCCUUUUCCCCCUUCCUUUGGCUGUGACACUGGAUGACAUCAAACAACAGAACACCCCCUCCUGCAGAUCUGGGCCUGAACUGGGACAAGAGCUCAUACCCUGCACCAGUAAUAACUUACCAGGCUUUGGUAGGAUGUCUGGAAGGCAAGGACAAUACUUGUUAGUAGAAAUAUGGAUAGUGAAGUAGCUCAUUAAAUUCUAUUUUCUGUGAAAUUUCUGUUUAGGCCACUAGUUGUAACAUUCCUGAUAGAUUUAGAUUGUGCUUUUGCUGUUCAGGAGAAAAGCUUUUUCUCUUCAUGCAGUCUUCAGCACACUUUAUUUCCUGCUGUGUAAUAAUGACACCCUAAAAUACCUCAUUAAUCUGGACAGAUACUAACCAUUCUCAGAGAAUCAUCUCUUUUCCAACCACAACUAACAAAGAAAAGACCUUCAUUUACUGCUAUCAUCUCAUUGUAAAGGAGUUUUUAAUGUCUUCACAGUUGCUCUAUGAAGACUGUCAGGAAUUUUCAAAGCUGUAAACUGCUUUACCUUUACACGUCAAAUUGGAAAUAAAUACACAAAUAUUUUUUAGGGAGUUUGUUGUGCCUUUUUCAAGUAGAACUUUUGUAUGUGCUGCAUUCCCAGCCGCCUUAAUCACAGCAGUUGGGCAGGCGGUCACUGUGUGCUCUUGCCUUUUGGAGCAUCACGCUGAGUGUCAGUUCACCACGUCCUGGCCAAGGCCCUUAGGUCAAUGGAUGGGACUGCCAGACCUAAAAUAAAACAGCCACCCUGCAACUUGGCUUUUGCAGAGAAAACCAAAGCAAUUUGUUUUUCUUUUCCCUAAAGACUUUAAUUUGAGGUAGGAGUCUGGGAGAGGAGGUGGGGUGGAAGGAGGAAGUGGGGAAUGUAUGUCCAAAUCCAAAGCCUGGAUUUUAUUGGCAUCUUGCAGCAGGGAGAGCUUCUCUCUUCCUGGCAGGUCCACCUUUGAUCUCACUAGAACCAAAGUCCAAUGAUAUUUCAAGCUUGCACCACAGUACUUCACCAUAAUGAAAAAAUACCAGCACUAACAUUCAGUUAACCUCAGUAAUGGACAGACAUUCCUACAAGAUUUCCUUAGAAUUGUCUUCCUGAGGAUUUGUGCAGUUUUACAUGUAAGUUUUGUAGUAUGUGAAUACUGCAGUUAGAGCUGACAGCAUCCCUACAACCUGCCUGGAAGAGUUAAAACUGCCCAACCAGAGUUUUGCCUGGAAAACAGAGCUUAAGGUAGGAAAAACACCCCUUAGCUGCAAGGGAUCGUGUUCCUGCCCGGAUUGUCAUUAGUGUUGUUGCCAUGAAUAUCCAAGGCAGGUGGAAAUGUCCUCUGCUGACCACUCUGGUGAGGUGAGGUGUGCUGAGGUGACCCCCUAAUGUGCCUCUGCCCGUGGUAUGGUGCUCCUACAGGGAGCACAGCACGAGCUACUUCCCCCUGUAGUUCCUGCCUGGGGUCCCAAUUCUGUGACAUGAACAUUAAAAAACAAGCAAACAAAACCUGUCCAGAGGCUAGAGCAGCCUCCAGUUUGGGUUUAGAUUAGCUUACAGGCAAGGCCACAGACGGGUACUGCAGACCCGUGCGACUGAGCGGACGGUGGGGACAGCCCUUAGUGUGCCAUUGCUGUAGGAUUGCUCCUGGACUGUUUUCCCAGCGCUGAUUCGAGGGCUGGGGUGCUGUGCUGUGCCCACGCUGCCCUCAGCCCGGACACAAGGCCCGACACGCCGGCUCAGGCCGGGGCUGUCCGGAUGAGCGCGGCUCAGCCUCGUCCGAGAGGAAGGGGUGUGGGCUGAUGUGCGUGUCCCAUCGCCUGCAAACGGCUCUGCCACCCCAUUGUUUCGAGUGUCUCGGUGGAAGCGGAUCAGGAAGCUUAUCUAGAGCCAUCCCCACCCUUUCACCGGCAGCCCUUGUUCGAAAGGGACGCCGCACAUUUCCCUCCCUGGCCCUCCUCCCCUCCGCCCUGAUUCAGAGCAACCCCGGUUCUUCCUAGAGCACUCUGCUCACA